UACAGAGGGGGCAAGCGUCGUUCGGAAUUACUGGGCGUAAAGGGCGCGUAGGCGGCCUGCUAAGUCGAACGUGAAAUCCCCGGGCUCAACCCGGGAACUGCGUCCGAUACUGGUUGGCUUGAAUCCGGGAGAGGGAUGCGGAAUUCCAGGUGUAGCGGUGAAAUGCGUAGAUAUCUGGAGGAACACCGGUGGCGAAGGCGGGUCUCUGGGCAACUACUGACGCUGAGGAGCGAAAGCGUGGGGAGCGAACAGG
This 253-nucleotide ribosomal RNA is filed under the name uncultured bacterium. Its description in RNAcentral is "partial 16S ribosomal RNA". It matches the Rfam family "Bacterial small subunit ribosomal RNA", at positions 524 to 776 of the family's 1533-position model. The record is from RNAcentral.